AUUGAUUAAACGUAAAAAUCCUUGCAACUUAUUAUUACCAGUUUUCCGGUAACUAAACUAUCCAAGCAUCAUUAAAAAAAACUAAAAUUACCUAAAUACCCUCACAUAAAAACCCUUAUUCUUCAUACAUGCCUCUCUUUUCUCUCUCUCAUGCCCUUAGUGUUUCUAGCUCUCUCUUCUCUUCUAGCAUUAUCGAUAUUCACUCUCAAAUUACCUAAAACAAAGCAUAAAUGACAUCAAUUAAUUUCAAAACAAAAAUUAAAAUAAGAAAUUAACACAAAAUUUUCAUCCAUUAAUAAAUAAUUUUAUUAACCAUAAACGAAUUUCUUACAAUUUUUCAAUAAAUUUCAAAAUUUCGAUAGAAAUAUCUAGUAAAACCACAAAAAUCAACCAAAAAAUAACCCAUGAACACAGGUUAAUAGUAACAAAAGGGAAUCUUGUUCUCAUGUCCAUAUUGUCCAGCAGUUUCAACUUCACUCUAACCACCAUGGAUUGGGUUGGAUUUUUUCUUAACCAUCAACCCAUCUUUAAGCCAUUGCAUAUUGACCAUGUUCAACCUUAAUCUAGACAUCAUUCAUUGCACAGAAGAAAUCAAUCGCCUCCAUGUAAAACCCAUUAACUAAAACACUUCACAGACUUUAUUCCAUGUCACAACAUCUCUUUCAAGUAUUUCAUCAGACACCCUUUAUAAAUCCCUCAAACUCACACAAUUAACAUAGAAAACAAAAUGGUGCUACCCACAAAACAUCCAAAUCAAAACCAAGUUUAAAGAUAAACCCAUCUCCACACAACAUUCAAACUAUCAGCACUUGCCUUAAGGAUAAAGGGGAAAGUGUUCCACAAGAAAAUAUAGCCAAUGAAAAAAACAUUUCCUUUAAAAAUAUGAUAACAGGUUGCAAGGUCAAGAAAAGUGGCAUAGCAAAGAAUGAGAAAGGGUAGAGAGAGACACUUUGAGGGACCAGUCGUCAAUCAAAUGCUUUCAUUUGCCCUAAUCUUCCCCUUCAGUCAUUGCAUAGAGGGCGUAUAGGAGUGCGCGUCCAUUCCAACCUCGAGCAAAGGCACCUUAGAAACCCUUUUUCAUUUCGUUAAGGCAACAUGGUCUUCCCUUAGCUUACUUUUCUACCUAGUAAUUGACUCCCUGGAUACUUAUAACAAAAAGAGGAUUGCUAAAAUUGGGAUUUUUCUUUUUAAUCAUCUACGGUGGGUUUUAUGUUAGGAGAUUUUUAGGGAUUUUGUUUCAGGGAUAAUGGGGUAAGUGAGAGGAAAGGUGGGGAAGGAAGGGUUGGAUAGCAGAGAGGUGAUUGUGUGGGUGGGGAAGAACAAAGGCGGUGAUAAUAUAGAGAGAUAGAUGAG
Molecule: unclassified non-coding RNA, 1353 nt
Filed under: Hevea brasiliensis (rubber tree)
Lineage: Eukaryota; Viridiplantae; Streptophyta; Magnoliopsida; Malpighiales; Euphorbiaceae
Source: RNAcentral